Long non-coding RNA from Anas platyrhynchos (mallard), 672 nucleotides. RefSeq lists it as uncharacterized. The record is from RefSeq and is a predicted model, not a curated record. Lineage: Eukaryota; Metazoa; Chordata; Aves; Anseriformes; Anatidae.
CCUGUUUGGCAUAAUUUGCCAGUGCCUGCCCUUUGGAAGCUUAGAAGGUUCCUUGUGCUAAUUUUCAUCUCACAGAAUAUGAAUCAAUUCCAUGAAGUAUUUUAUAGAAGAACGGAUCAAAGCUCCAGAUAGGCUGAAGAAACUACAGAGCUCUAGAUGCUGGUGACAACUGCCAACCCUUCAUCUUAAUGGACUGCAAAUAUCAACACAUCAGAAAAUUCCCAGCCAAGCUGGAAACAUUUUCAGCACUUGUAAAACAUUCACAAAUGCCAGCAGGCAGUUCUAAAAAUCAGAAUCACUCCAUCCUGCUCCCUGGUACGCAUAACCCAUAUACAUGGCAGGGGAAGGAAGAUAUCUGUUUUACACAGGCUGUGCAUUUCUGGCAGUACGCAGCUUUGCCACUCAUCUCAGAGCAAGGACAAAGACUUGGUGUACCCCUGAGGGGCUAUCCCAGUUCAGAGGAGACCCAAGAGGAGCAGGGAGGAGUAGGAGAACACAGCCUGCACCCAGGAGGAUGCUGAGACACCAGCCAUUUAGACUGGCUCAUCCUAACUGACAUGCAGUUUCCCACAGCUGGAAAGAAGUACUAAGCUACAGUUAUUUGAAAAGCUUAUCAACUGGGGCUGAAAAUUCCCACAGAUAAGUCUUGCGCUAUGGAAGACAGUGACAAAA